GCCCCCGUAGCUCAUCCGGAUAGAGCAUCUGCCUUCUAAGCAGAGGGUAGCAGGUUCGAGUCCUGCCGGGGGUACCA
RNAcentral lists this transfer RNA (77 nucleotides) under Candidatus Zixiibacteriota bacterium. RNAcentral's name for it is "candidate division Zixibacteria bacterium tRNA-Arg". It matches the Rfam family "tRNA". Rfam says of the family: Transfer RNA (tRNA) molecules are approximately 80 nucleotides in length. Their secondary structure includes four short double-helical elements and three loops (D, anti-codon, and T loops). The record is from RNAcentral. Lineage: Bacteria; Pseudomonadati; Candidatus Zixiibacteriota.